GCGGGCGUAGCUCAGUGGCUAGAGCAUCACCUUGCCAAGGUGAGGGUCGAGGGUUCGAAUCUCUUCGCCCGCUCCA
This 76-nucleotide transfer RNA is filed under the name Planctomycetota bacterium. RNAcentral's name for it is "tRNA-Gly". It matches the Rfam family "tRNA". From Rfam's summary of the family: Transfer RNA (tRNA) molecules are approximately 80 nucleotides in length. Their secondary structure includes four short double-helical elements and three loops (D, anti-codon, and T loops). RNAcentral also lists the same sequence under 1 other name. Lineage: Bacteria; Pseudomonadati; Planctomycetota. The record is from RNAcentral.